UCACGCAUCGCGUCUCCCCCAAAUCCACCUUGGUGGAUGGGAAGGAUGAUGGUUUYCCGUGGCUCACCGGCCACGGUUGGCCUAAAAUAGGAGCCCUCGGCAUCGGGUUGCCGCGGCGAUAGGUGGUGAACAAGGCCUCGGCCAAGCAAGCAACCCGUCGUGCAACGCCGUGUCAAUGUGAGCUCGAAGGACCCUUUAACGUUGCCUUAACGCAACCAAACCGUUGCGAC
RNAcentral lists this ribosomal RNA (230 nucleotides) under Silene flos-jovis (flower of Jove). The record is from RNAcentral. Lineage: Eukaryota; Viridiplantae; Streptophyta; Magnoliopsida; Caryophyllales; Caryophyllaceae.